AGGGAAUCUUCCACAAUGGACGCAAGUCUGAUGGAGCAACGCCGCGUGAGUGAAGAAGGUUUUCGGAUCGUAAAGCUCUGUUGUUGGUGAAGAAGGAUAGAGGCAGUAACUGGUCUUUAUUUGACGGUAAUCAACCAGAAAGUCACGGCUAACUACGUGCCAGCAGCCGCGGUAAUACGUAGGUGGCAAGCGUUGUCCGGAUUUAUUGGGCGUAAAGCGAGCGCAGGCGGAAUGAUAAGUCUGAUGUGAAAGCCCACGGCUCAACCGUGGAACUGCAUCGGAAACUGUCAUUCUUGAGUGCAGAAGAGGAGAGUGGAACUCCAUGUGUAGCGGUGGAAUGCGUAGAUAUAUGGAAGAACACCAGUGGCGAAGGCGGCUCUCUGGUCUGCAACUGACGCUGAGGCUCGAAAGCAUGGGUAGCGAACAGGAUUAGAUACCCUGGUAGUCCAUGCCGUAAACGAUGAGCGCUA
RNAcentral lists this ribosomal RNA (470 nucleotides) under uncultured bacterium. Its description in RNAcentral is "partial 16S ribosomal RNA". It matches the Rfam family "Bacterial small subunit ribosomal RNA", at positions 356 to 818 of the family's 1533-position model. The record is from RNAcentral.